GUGUCAGCAGCCGCGGUAAUACGUAGGGUGCGGGCGUUAUCCGGAAUUAUUGGGCGUAAAGAGCUCGUAGGCGGUUCGUCGCGUCUGCCGUGAAAGUCCGGGGCUUAACUCCGGAUCUGCGGUGGGUACGGGCAGACUAGAGUGCAGUAGGGGAGACUGGAAUUCCUGGUGUAGCGGUGGAAUGCGCAGAUAUCAGGAGGAACACCGAUGGCGAAGGCAGGUCUCUGGGCUGUAACUGACGCUGAGGAGCGAAAGCGUGGGGAGCAAACAGGAUUAGAUACCCUUGUAGUCC
RNAcentral lists this ribosomal RNA (292 nucleotides) under uncultured Arthrobacter sp. Its description in RNAcentral is "partial 16S ribosomal RNA". It matches the Rfam family "Bacterial small subunit ribosomal RNA", at positions 505 to 796 of the family's 1533-position model. Lineage: Bacteria; Bacillati; Actinomycetota; Actinomycetes; Micrococcales; Micrococcaceae. The record is from RNAcentral.